GUAAGGAUGUGAGUGUGUGUGCACAAAUGUAUGUGUGUGCAUGCAUGUGUGUGUGUUGUGUUCUUGGAGGUAGGAUAUGUUUUCUUUGUAAAUGUAUAGGGUGUCUAAAUGUGUAUGGUAUUGUAGCGAAUUCAAGGGGUAGCCCCGACCGGGACUCGUACCCAUGUCAAGUGACUGGCAAUAUUUAUUUCUGGUAUUAAAACCUAUUUGUAAUCCAAUGAAAGAUAGUGAAUAGGCCAGGAGAGACUGUAAUCCAAUGAAAGAUAGUGAAUAGGCCAGGAGAGUCUGUAAUCCAAUGAAACACAGUGAAUGGGCCAGGAGAGACUGGAAUCCAAUGAAAGAUAGUGAAUAGGCCAGGAGAGUCUGUAAUCCAAUGAAACACAGUGAAUGGGCCAGGAGAGACUGGAAUCCAAUGAAAGAUAGUGAAUAGGUCAGGAGAGACUGUAAUCCAUUGAAAGAUAGUGAAUAGGCCAGGAGAAACUGUAAUUAAAUCUCGGAAUAUGUUUUAUUUUGCAUUAAUUUAGCAACAAGAGGGAAUGUUUAACAUGCAGAGUAGAUUUGUA
Long non-coding RNA from Oncorhynchus tshawytscha (Chinook salmon), 563 nucleotides. The record is from Ensembl. Lineage: Eukaryota; Metazoa; Chordata; Actinopteri; Salmoniformes; Salmonidae.